Molecule: long non-coding RNA, 605 nt
Filed under: Ananas comosus (pineapple)
Lineage: Eukaryota; Viridiplantae; Streptophyta; Magnoliopsida; Poales; Bromeliaceae
Description: long non-coding RNA (ACOM_LNC034588)
Source: RNAcentral
CAAAAUAUAUAUCAAGUAUAACCCAUGGCUUCAUUUGGUUCGGGGUUAAGUAAGAACUAGUUAUUCCAGGAAUAGAGUUAAUUUCAGGGUUAAGGUGGGGUUAUAGUAAUUUUGUGUUUGGUUGAGAAUUGGGUUUAGUCCAGCUAUAAGCAAAAUAGGGUUUGGUUGGAGUAAAUGGAAUAAGAAAGAUAGUGAGUAGUUAUAAAUAGAAAAUAAUGAUAUUGCCCCAAUUAUUAUAUUUGAAUUUAAAUUUUUUAUUUUAUAUUUAAAAUUCCAAAUUUUCAUAGAUAACUUUUAAAUUAAAAAAUUCAAAAUUAAAAUCUAUAUUUUUAAAUCUAAAAUAUAAAAUUUAAAUAUAAAAUAUUAAAUUUUAAAGAUUACAAAUUAUAAAUUUUUAAAAUUUCAAAUAUAAAAUAUUAAAUUUAAAAUUUAAAUAACUAAAAAGAACAAUUUUAAAUUUAAACUUUAAAAUUUUAAAAAAUAAAUAUUAAUUUUAAAAUUGCAAACUAUGUUAAGGAUUUUGUAGGUUGGCGGAUUUCGUAAAGUCGAAUGGAGUCUUGAAGAGUUGAUCGCGGUAGUUUGAAGAGAAGAUUCAACUUGAAGAG